Molecule: ribosomal RNA, 1369 nt
Filed under: uncultured bacterium
Lineage: Bacteria
Description: bacterial SSU rRNA
Rfam family: Bacterial small subunit ribosomal RNA
Source: RNAcentral
GACGAACGCUGGCGGCGUGCCUAAUACAUGCAAGUAGAACGCUGAAGAGAGGAGCUUGCUCUUCUUGGAUGAGUUGCGAACGGGUGAGUAACGCGUAGGUAACCUGCCUUGUAGCGGGGGAUAACUAUUGGAAACGAUAGCUAAUACCGCAUAACAAUGGAUGACACAUGUCAUUUAUUUGAAAGGGGCAAUUGCUCCACUACAAGAUGGACCUGCGUUGUAUUAGCUAGUAGGUGAGGUAAUGGCUCACCUAGGCGACGAUACAUAGCCGACCUGAGAGGGUGAUCGGCCACACUGGGACUGAGACACGGCCCAGACUCCUACGGGAGGCAGCAGUAGGGAAUCUUCGGCAAUGGGGGCAACCCUGACCGAGCAACGCCGCGUGAGUGAAGAAGGUUUUCGGAUCGUAAAGCUCUGUUGUAAGUCAAGAACGGGUGUGAGAGUGGAAAGUUCACACUGUGACGGUAGCUUACCAGAAAGGGACGGCUAACUACGUGCCAGCAGCCGCGGUAAUACGUAGGUCCCGAGCGUUGUCCGGAUUUAUUGGGCGUAAAGCGAGCGCAGGCGGUUUGAUAAGUCUGAAGUUAAAGGCUGUGGCUCAACCAUAGUUCGCUUUGGAAACUGUCAAACUUGAGUGCAGAAGGGGAGAGUGGAAUUCCAUGUGUAGCGGUGAAAUGCGUAGAUAUAUGGAGGAACACCGGUGGCGAAAGCGGCUCUCUGGUCUGUAACUGACGCUGAGGCUCGAAAGCGUGGGGAGCGAACAGGAUUAGAUACCCUGGUAGUCCACGCCGUAAACGAUGAGUGCUAGGUGUUGGAUCCUUUCCGGGAUUCAGUGCCGCAGCUAACGCAUUAAGCACUCCGCCUGGGGAGCACGACCGCAAGGUUGAAACUCAAAGGAAUUGACGGGGGCCCGCACAAGCGGUGGAGCAUGUGGUUUAAUUCGAAGCAACGCGAAGAACCUUACCAGGUCUUGACAUCCCGAUGCUAUUUCUAGAGAUAGAAAGUUACUUCGGUACAUCGGUGACAGGUGGUGCAUGGUUGUCGUCAGCUCGUGUCGUGAGAUGUUGGGUUAAGUCCCGCAACGAGCGCAACCCCUAUUGUUAGUUGCCAUCAUUCAGUUGGGCACUCUAGCGAGACUGCCGGUAAUAAACCGGAGGAAGGUGGGGAUGACGUCAAAUCAUCAUGCCCCUUAUGACCUGGGCUACACACGUGCUACAAUGGUUGGUACAACGAGUUGCGAGUCGGUGACGGCGAGCUAAUCUCUUAAAGCCAAUCUCAGUUCGGAUUGUAGGCUGCAACUCGCCUACAUGAAGUCGGAAUCGCUAGUAAUCGCGGAUCAGCACGCCGCGGUGAAUACGUUCCCGGGCCU